AACCCAUAUUGAGGACACUUCCUUAGGAGCUCCUUGAACCUCUUCCACGACUCAAAUAGAGACUCCAAUUUUGUUUGCACGAAGUAGGAUAUUUCAUUCCUCAGCUU
This is a small nucleolar RNA of Dioscorea cayenensis subsp. rotundata (Guinea yam), 107 nucleotides long. The record is from RefSeq and is a predicted model, not a curated record. Lineage: Eukaryota; Viridiplantae; Streptophyta; Magnoliopsida; Dioscoreales; Dioscoreaceae.